This 285-nucleotide long non-coding RNA is filed under the name Brassica rapa (field mustard). Its description in RNAcentral is "long non-coding RNA (BRAP_LNC003161)". Lineage: Eukaryota; Viridiplantae; Streptophyta; Magnoliopsida; Brassicales; Brassicaceae. The record is from RNAcentral.
GUUAACAAAGUGUUCCGCAUUUAAAAUAAUGAAAAUAACAUAUUAUUGACUUUGAAAAGAAAAAAAAACAAGAAAAAGCAAGACAAUAAAAACUGGAUUUUGUGAGAGAUUUUAAAAGUUGUUAAGUUUUAAGAAGUGUUAGAGUAAAUAAACAAUUGAAAUACCAUAUCAGAUAUUAGACCAAAGAAAAACGAAUAUAAGUGUGGUUAAACUCAGCUUAGUAUGGAGAUCUUUUUUUGGAAAAUAACUAAUUCAGGAACAAAAUUUCGAGGGUUUAGAUUCAAA